Molecule: ribosomal RNA, 807 nt
Filed under: Leuconostoc mesenteroides
Lineage: Bacteria; Bacillati; Bacillota; Bacilli; Lactobacillales; Lactobacillaceae
Description: bacterial SSU rRNA
Rfam family: Bacterial small subunit ribosomal RNA
Source: RNAcentral
UGGCAAUACGGGGUCUAUAAUGCAGUCGAACGCACAGCGAAAGGUGCUUGCACCUUUCAAGUGAGUGGCGAACGGGUGAGUAACACGUGGACAACCUGCCUCAAGGCUGGGGAUAACAUUUGGAAACAGAUGCUAAUACCGAAUAAAACUUAGUGUCGCAUGACACAAAGUUAAAAGGCGCUUCGGCGUCACCUAGAGAUGGAUCCGCGGUGCAUUAGUUAGUUGGUGGGGUAAAGGCCUACCAAGACAAUGAUGCAUAGCCGAGUUGAGAGACUGAUCGGCCACAUUGGGACUGAGACACGGCCCAAACUCCUACGGGAGGCUGCAGUAGGGAAUCUUCCACAAUGGGCGAAAGCCUGAUGGAGCAACGCCGCGUGUGUGAUGAAGGCUUUCGGGUCGUAAAGCACUGUUGUAUGGGAAGAACAGCUAGAAUAGGAAAUGAUUUUAGUUUGACGGUACCAUACCAGAAAGGGACGGCUAAAUACGUGCCAGCAGCCGCGGUAAUACGUAUGUCCCGAGCGUUAUCCGGAUUUAUUGGGCGUAAAGCGAGCGCAGACGGUUUAUUAAGUCUGAUGUGAAAGCCCGGAGCUCAACUCCGGAAUGGCAUUGGAAACUGGUUAACUUGAGUGCAGUAGAGGUAAGUGGAACUCCAUGUGUAGCGGUGGAAUGCGUACAUAUAUGGAAGAACACCAGUGGCGAAGGCGGCUUACUGGACUGCAACUGACGUUGAGGCUCGAAAGUGUGGGUAGCAAACAUGAUUAGAUACCGGGGUAAAUACAAAAGAAAGGGGUUAUAUUAAAAACAAUA